Megalobrama amblycephala (Wuchang bream) is the source of this 1020-nucleotide long non-coding RNA. RefSeq lists it as uncharacterized. The transcript is spliced from 7 exons. The record is from RefSeq and is a predicted model, not a curated record. NCBI's taxonomy places the organism in Eukaryota, Metazoa, Chordata, Actinopteri, Cypriniformes, Xenocyprididae.
UGUUGGGGAAUCCCUUUCUGCAGAUCCUGAUGCCCUCCAGCACACCGUUACAGCGCAGCUGGUGCAUGACCAGAGGAUUCUCCAUCGCUCCAGGAGUCUUGGUCUCAUUGGGAAUGAGGCAGCGCACAAAGUGAGGCUGCCAGGUCCAUGUCUUGCUAUGACGAGGUGGAAGAUUCCGAUCCACACUCUUCCCUGAGAUGGAGGCGAUUCAUUCUCAGCUCCUUUGUCGUCUCAGCUCACCAAAAGGUCAAUGACUUGACCCAUUGUACUUCAUGACCAUUGAGCAGGCUAUUAAUGGAGACUGAGGGUGUCUGUUUGUUUGAUUUACUUGGACAAGUGUUCACUGGACGUCCCAUGAUGCUUUUGCUCCUUUGAGUUGCUUGUCAUUUCUUCGUUAUCCCUUGUUCGAGCCAGCUGUACGAUGAAGACAGAGAAUACAGCCACACACAAACACUCUGCUCCCUGCAGGAGAAGGAGAACACAUCACUGAAGCACAGAUGAAGAAUCAGGUGCUUUCUGGAGCUUAGGGAAGUUGCAUUCAAGAGCCACCAGAGCCAUUGGACUGCCUAAUAGUGUUAAAACAUGGAGACAGAACUACAGAAGAGAUUGUCACAGCAAUCAGUGUUUAGAGAGAUCCAUCUAAUAUUUUCACUCCUCAUCGGCCCCUUUCUGUUAGAAAGAAAAAUGACAAAAUAAAAAUGUUAAAGGGCUGUCUUGUUGGAAGAGUUGAGAGAACUGGGAAAUGACAUGGUGAGCACGCACUCAGACGUGAGUGUGGGACACCAGGUCCUUUGACGCAGGCUGGUGUAUUACCAAAAGCCAUCAGAGCUGGACGUUUGGUGAUAACUCCACUCCAUUAAGGGGUUGAAGGGACACUGGAAGACAUCAGAGGAUCCUGUUGGGGAAUCCCUUUCUGCAGAUCCUAAUGCCCUCCAGCACACCGUUACAGCGCAGCUGGUGCAUGACCAGAGGAUUCUCCAUCGCCCCAGGAGUCUUAGUCUCAUUGGGGAUGAUGCAGCG